Molecule: ribosomal RNA, 468 nt
Filed under: uncultured bacterium
Lineage: Bacteria
Description: partial 16S ribosomal RNA
Rfam family: Bacterial small subunit ribosomal RNA
Source: RNAcentral
GACGAACGCUGGCGGCGUGCUUAACACAUGCAAGUCGAACGGAAAGGCCCUGCUUUUGUGGGGUGCUCGAGUGGCGAACGGGUGAGUAACACGUGAGUAACCUGCCCUUGACUUUGGGAUAACUUCAGGAAACUGGGGCUAAUACCGGAUAGGAGCUCCUGCUGCAUGGUGGGGGUUGGAAAGUUUCGGCGGUUGGGGAUGGACUCGCGGAUUAUCAGCUUGUUGGUGGGGUAGUGGCUUACCAAGGCUUUGACGGGUAGCCGGCCUGAGAGGGUGACCGGCCACAUUGGGACUGAGAUACGGCCCAGACUCCUACGGGAGGCAGCAGUGGGGAAUAUUGCACAAUGGGCGGAAGCCUGAUGCAGCAACGCCGCGUGCGGGAUGACGGCCUUCGGGCUGUAAACCGCUUUCGCCUGUGACGAAGCGUGAGUGACGGUAAUGGGUAAAGAAGCACCGGCUGACUACGUG